Long non-coding RNA from Hemibagrus wyckioides, 553 nucleotides. RefSeq lists it as uncharacterized. The record is from RefSeq and is a predicted model, not a curated record. The transcript has 5 exons. Lineage: Eukaryota; Metazoa; Chordata; Actinopteri; Siluriformes; Bagridae.
AGGUGAAGUUCCUCGUGCGCGCUGUGACGUGUGCGUGACGUUUCCGAAUCAGAACCAGAACCUUGCCGAUGUUCAACCUCACUGAGUGUCUGAGCGUAUGCUGAGUUCGACGUUUUUCACAGACAGAUAUUGAUGGCAUUUUUGAUAUCAGAAAACACUAGUCCAGUUUUUCCUCCCAGUGCUGAAGGAAAGCCUGGUGUUCAACCCCAUAGUCCAGCUUGCCUGACGAAGUAUCAGCCAUGCAGGAAGCCAUUGAGCGUACAGAGGUUUAUGAAUAUGUGUUGAGCCUGAACUCAGGCUGCACACAGACAAACUUCCAGGAAUACAAGGUCUUGUAUGCCCUCAAGCUCUCUGAGUCUGGGCUUUCAUCUCAAGCCCUCGAAUAUUGUGAGAACAUUGCAAAAGCAGUCAUUGCCUUCCCAGACAGAAUCCCAAACACCUUGUUCAACCAGCUUAUACAGCUGUCAGGGAACCUGAAUAAAGGGAAGGAAAAAGAACCAGAAUGGCUGUUAAAUCUUCGCCUGCUGCACAAAGAAGAAGCCAAAGAUUCAGA